This 347-nucleotide unclassified non-coding RNA is filed under the name Hapalosiphon sp. SR15. Its description in RNAcentral is "16S-23S ribosomal RNA intergenic spacer". Lineage: Bacteria; Bacillati; Cyanobacteriota; Cyanophyceae; Nostocales; Hapalosiphonaceae. The record is from RNAcentral.
CUUUUAAGGGAGACCUACCCACUCAAUGUACCCAGAGCAAAUUCAAGUUGUAAGCAGGUCAUGAGUUGGUCAUCCCAGGUCGGUCGGAGAUUAGCAAGUAGGCUUUCAAACUAUUAGAAAGGUUCGAUAAUAUCAAGAGAAAGUAAGAAGCUCAGAAGUAUGGUUCAGCAACUUAGCAUUAUUUUGCGAGCUAAGACUGCUGGGUUUUAAACCAGCCAGAACCUUGAAAACUGCAUAGAGAAGCGAAUGUAUGGUAGUCAGUGAAGAGUAAACAGUGAACAGUAAUGAAAAAACUGAGAACUGAGAACUAGACACUGAACAGACACCAAUGUUUUGUGUAGAGAAGU